GGGCCCGCACAAGCGGUGGAGUAUGUGGUUUAAUUCGAUGCAACGCGAAGAACCUUACCAGGGUUUGACAUCCUGCGAAUCUCUUGGAAACAGGAGAGUGCCUUCGGGAACGCAGUGACAGGUGGUGCAUGGCUGUCGUCAGCUCGUGUCGUGAGAUGUUGGGUUAAGUCCCGCAACGAGCGCAACCCACGUCUUUAGUUGCCAGCAUUUAGUUGGGCACUCUAGAGAGACUGCCGGUGAUAAACCGGAGGAAGGUGUGGAUGACGUCAAGUCAUCAUGCCCCUUACAUCCUGGGCUACACACGUACUACAAUGCUACGGACAAAGGGCAGCAAGUUCGCGAGGACAAGCAAAUCCCAUAAACCGUGGCUCAGUUCGGAUUGCAGGCUGCAACUCGCCUGCAUGAAGCCGGAAUC
RNAcentral lists this ribosomal RNA (415 nucleotides) under uncultured bacterium. RNAcentral's name for it is "bacterial SSU rRNA". It matches the Rfam family "Bacterial small subunit ribosomal RNA", at positions 917 to 1333 of the family's 1533-position model. The record is from RNAcentral.